CAAGGUACAUUUUCUAAGACAAGUUGGAUAGAAUCUUUCAUAUUCCCCAAAACAAGUUUGAAAUGCAAGUCCACUCACCGGUAUUCGUUGAGCCUUUAGCCGACUCUUAAUUCCCCUAAUGAUCCAAUUGGGGUGAUGGGGCUUCGUUAGCACCUACCAUCAAAUUAACAUUUCCAUAAUGUCAAUUUACAUACUAUAAACCCUAAAAGCUAUCUUUUAGCUAGCUUUCAAUUGCCAUUUAAAUGGCCAUCCAUUUUCACUUUCCUAUCACUCCAAAGUGAAUUAACAAUCUCAACUACAAA
This 302-nucleotide long non-coding RNA is filed under the name Theobroma cacao (cacao). Its description in RNAcentral is "long non-coding RNA (TCAC_LNC005863)". The record is from RNAcentral. Lineage: Eukaryota; Viridiplantae; Streptophyta; Magnoliopsida; Malvales; Malvaceae.